AAUAAGUAAAAGAAAAUACAAACACAACUUAAACGUUUGUGAGGAAGAAGUGACCACGAGAAUCCAUUUAAAUAGUUUUGUCUCUAAAAGGAAAUCGUGCACGAAGAAAAAUAUACAAUGACGAUAUAAUGGAAAAUAAAUUGAGCAUAACCGCGCGGUGUUCGAAGGGCUGCCAUUUCUAUCAGUGCGCGGCGGUCAAACACUCAAAACACGCGCGAUAAUGAACUGGAAAUACGAAAUAAGUGAGAGAGUUUGCCGGCUGCUGUUUUUUUCCUUCGAUUUUUUUCUUUCCUUUUUCGAAUUUCUCUGUUUUCUUUAUUCUUUUCUCUAUUCUAUUUUACUUUCUCUAUUCUCCAUUUUCUCUAUUCUACUUUACUUUCUUUAUUCUCCAUUUUCUCUGUACUUUACUUUCUCUAUUCUCCAUUUUCUCUAUUCUACUUUACUUUCUCUAUUCUCCAUUUUCUCUAUUCUACUUUACUUUCUCUAUUCUACUUUACUUUCUCUAUUCUCCAUUUUCUCAUAUUUUCUUUUUCGAUAUUUUUUUUCUUUUCAUUUUCAAGUCAACGUUUUUUUCUUUUAUUUUUGUCUUUGUAAGCCGAUUUUUUGUUCUUUUUCUUUUUUUUUCGUUAAUACGUUGGUUUUCUCUUCACUUUUUCAUUCUCAAAUCGACGUUUUCUCUUAGUUUGUUUUCUUUCCAAGCAGAUGUUUUUUUUCUUCCAUUUUCAUUUUUCGAUCAUUUCUUCUUUAACUCUCUUAUCUUUCUAUUUUCAGGUCAACGGUUUUCAUCUAUUUUCAUUUUCAAAUUGAUGUUUUUACUUUUAUAUUCUGUUUUAAGUCGAUUUUUUUCCUUAUCUUUCUAUUUUCAGGUCAACGGUUUUCAUCUAUUUUCAUUUUCAAAUUGAUGUUUUUACUUUUAUAUUCUGUUUUAAGUCGAUUUUUUUCCUUAUCUUUCUAUUUUCAGGUGGACGUUCUUCUACUUUCAUUUUUAAGUUGAUGUUUUUGCUUUUCUAUUCUGUUCUAAGUCGAUUUUUUCUCUUAUCUUUCUAUUUUCAGGUCGACGUUCUGCGGGUGUUUACGACGGCCGCGCGCUCCUCCGCCUCGUCCUCUCCGCGUUUUUAUUUAGUUUGCUUAUCGGUAAAUUCUUGUUAAGUCUCCCGUGGCUGUCGUUUUCUCCUUGUCGAGUGUCGUCUCUUCUUAUCAAAUUACCUUCCUCUCUUCUAUUUUCUCUUAAUUCUUCCUUAAGCCGACUCUUUCUCCUCCUCCUCCUCCUCCUCCUUCUCCCUCGUCUUCCUCCUCUUACGACUGGCAUUCCUCUCUCCUUCCUUCCAUCCGUUAGUUUUUUCUUUUUUUCAUGCCUGCUUCUCUCUCUCUCUCUCUCUCUCUCUCUCUCUCUCUCUCUCUCUCUCUCUCUCUCUCUCUCUCUCUCUCUCUAU
Molecule: long non-coding RNA, 1433 nt
Organism: Eriocheir sinensis (Chinese mitten crab)
Lineage: Eukaryota; Metazoa; Arthropoda; Malacostraca; Decapoda; Varunidae
Exons: 2
Source: RefSeq, a predicted model, not a curated record